This 789-nucleotide ribosomal RNA is filed under the name uncultured Lactobacillus sp. RNAcentral's name for it is "bacterial SSU rRNA". It matches the Rfam family "Bacterial small subunit ribosomal RNA", at positions 28 to 776 of the family's 1533-position model. The record is from RNAcentral. Lineage: Bacteria; Bacillati; Bacillota; Bacilli; Lactobacillales; Lactobacillaceae.
GACGAACGCUGGCGGCGUGCCUAAUACAUGCAAGUCGAGCGAGCUUGCCUAGAUGAAUUUGGUGCUUGCACCAAAUGAAACUAGAUACAAGCGAGCGGCGGACGGGUGAGUAACACGUGGGUAACCUGCCCAAGAGACUGGGAUAACACCUGGAAACAGAUGCUAAUACCGGAUAACAACACUAGACGCAUGUCUAGAGUUUAAAAGAUGGUUCUGCUAUCACUCUUGGAUGGACCUGCGGUGCAUUAGCUAGUUGGUAAGGUAACGGCUUACCAAGGCAAUGAUGCAUAGCCGAGUUGAGAGACUGAUCGGCCACAUUGGGACUGAGACAUGGCCCAAACUCCUACGGGAGGCAGCAGUAGGGAAUCUUCCACAAUGGACGCAAGUCUGAUGGAGCAACGCCGCGUGAGUGAAGAAGGGUUUCGGCUCGUAAAGCUCUGUUGGUAGUGAAGAAAGAUAGAGGUAGUAACUGGCCUUUAUUUGACGGUAAUUACUUAGAAAGUCACGGCUAACUACGUGCCAGCAGCCGCGGUAAUACGUAGGUGGCAAGCGUUGUCCGGAUUUAUUGGGCGUAAAGCGAGUGCAGGCGGUUCAAUAAGUCUGAUGUGAAAGCCUUCGGCUCAACCGGAGAAUUGCAUCAGAAACUGUUGAACUUGAGUGCAGAAGAGGAGAGUGGAACUCCAUGUGUAGCGGUGGAAUGCGUAGAUUUAUGGAAGAACACCAGUGGCGAAGGCGGCUCUCUGGUCUGCAACUGACGCUGAGGCUCGAAAGCAUGGGGUAGCGAACAGG